GUUUGACUGGCAUAAGCAAAGUCGUUAGCAAUGGUAUGUGAAACACUUUCUUCAGCGUGAUCAGCAGGCAAAGAUUCUCCUUUAUCAUAUGUAAUAUGCCCAUUAACAGCUUCUGAUUCUAAAUGUACAACGGGCUCAGUAAAGUUAUUUGCUGGAUAUCCAAUUAUCUCAUUAUUACUUGUAGCUGGAUAGCUCUUGCCAGUUUCAGCAUCAAGAGAAGUUGGUGUUUCAUUCCUACCAAUUUCGGCAUUAGAAGGAAUCAAGGUCUCAACCUCCUUAGAAGAGCUGUUUUGCUCAGAUCUGUUUUGACUGGCACUAACAAAGCCAUU
Molecule: unclassified non-coding RNA, 329 nt
Filed under: Hevea brasiliensis (rubber tree)
Lineage: Eukaryota; Viridiplantae; Streptophyta; Magnoliopsida; Malpighiales; Euphorbiaceae
Source: RNAcentral